RNAcentral lists this transfer RNA (74 nucleotides) under Enterococcus sp. AZ163. RNAcentral's name for it is "tRNA-Arg". It matches the Rfam family "tRNA". Rfam says of the family: Transfer RNA (tRNA) molecules are approximately 80 nucleotides in length. RNAcentral also lists the same sequence under 3 other names. Lineage: Bacteria; Bacillati; Bacillota; Bacilli; Lactobacillales; Enterococcaceae. The record is from RNAcentral.
GUCCUUGUAGCUCAGCAGGAUAGAGCAAUCGCCUCCUAAGCGAUAGGUCGCUGGUUCGAACCCAGUCAAGGACG